RNAcentral lists this non-coding RNA (45 nucleotides) under Echinostoma caproni. The record is from RNAcentral. Lineage: Eukaryota; Metazoa; Platyhelminthes; Trematoda; Plagiorchiida; Echinostomatidae.
ACACGGCUGAUGAGUCCCAAACAAGACGAAACGACUGUCCAGUGU